Molecule: ribosomal RNA, 249 nt
Filed under: uncultured bacterium
Lineage: Bacteria
Description: partial 16S ribosomal RNA
Rfam family: Bacterial small subunit ribosomal RNA
Source: RNAcentral
UGAGUAACACGUAUGCAACCUGCCUGCCACAGCCGGAUAAUCGGGAGAAAUUCCGUCUAAUACGGCAUAAUGCAUCGACGGGACAUCCUGUUGGUGCCAAAGGUUGAUUCCGGUGGCGGAUGGGCAUGCGUCGCAUUAGUUAGUUGGCGGUGUAACGGACCACCAAGACGACGAUGCGUAGGGGUUCUGAGAGGAAGGUCCCCCACACUGGUACUGAGACACGGACCAGACUCCUACGGAAGGCAGCAG